GGGGAAUAUUGGACAAUGGGCGAAAGCCUGAUCCAGCCAUGCCGCGUGUGUGAAGAAGGUCUUCGGGUUGUAAAGCACUUUAAGUUGGGAGGAAGAUAAUGACGGUAACCGGAGAAGAAGCCCCGGCUAACUUCGUGCCAGCAGCCGCGGUAAUACGAAGGGGGCUAGCGUUGCUCGGAAUCACUGGGCGUAAAGCGCACGUAGGCGGAUCGUUAAGUCAGGGGUGAAAUCCUGGGGCUCAACCUCAGAACUGCCCUUGAUACUGGCGAUCUCGAGUUCGAGAGAGGUUGGUGGAACUCCCAGUGUAGAGGUGAAAUUCGUAGAUAUUCGGAAGAACACCAGUGGCGAAGGCGGCCAACUGGCUCGAUACUGACGCUGAGGUGCGAAAGCGUGGGGAGCAAACA
This 404-nucleotide ribosomal RNA is filed under the name uncultured Xanthobacter sp. Its description in RNAcentral is "bacterial SSU rRNA". It matches the Rfam family "Bacterial small subunit ribosomal RNA", at positions 356 to 774 of the family's 1533-position model. Lineage: Bacteria; Pseudomonadati; Pseudomonadota; Alphaproteobacteria; Hyphomicrobiales; Xanthobacteraceae. The record is from RNAcentral.